CACAAACAGUUUAUAAAAAGCAUUCAAACACAAGUACAUAUGCAAACCAGCAGCAAAUGUUUGACAAAGUCUGACACACACUGGGAAAUGCACCAUUACGAACAUAAUUUAAAACCAGACAAAUAUAGAACAACUACGACACAAGACCUAAACAUCUAACCAAACUACCAAAUGUAAACAUCUAACCAGGCAGAUAAUCCACUACCCAUCAAAUGAAAAA
This 220-nucleotide long non-coding RNA is filed under the name Olea europaea (common olive). Its description in RNAcentral is "long non-coding RNA (OEUR_LNC000225)". Lineage: Eukaryota; Viridiplantae; Streptophyta; Magnoliopsida; Lamiales; Oleaceae. The record is from RNAcentral.